Molecule: transfer RNA, 73 nt
Filed under: Camelus bactrianus (Bactrian camel)
Lineage: Eukaryota; Metazoa; Chordata; Mammalia; Artiodactyla; Camelidae
Also listed under: 2 other names
Rfam family: tRNA
About the family: Transfer RNA (tRNA) molecules are approximately 80 nucleotides in length. Their secondary structure includes four short double-helical elements and three loops (D, anti-codon, and T loops). Further hydrogen bonds mediate the characteristic L-shaped molecular structure. tRNAs have two regions of fundamental functional importance: the anti-codon, which is responsible for specific mRNA codon recognition, and the 3' end, to which the tRNAs corresponding amino acid is attached (by aminoacyl-tRNA synthetases). tRNAs cope with the degeneracy of the genetic code in two manners: having more than one tRNA (with a specific anti-codon) for a particular amino acid; and 'wobble' base-pairing, i.e. permitting non-standard base-pairing at the 3rd anti-codon position.
Source: Rfam by way of RNAcentral
GAGGAUAUAGCUCAAGUGGUAGAGCACAUGCUUAGCAUGCAUGAGGUCCUGGGUUCAAUCCCCAGCACCUCCA